UAUAAUUCUAAGUCAUAUUUGAAGUGAACUGUAACCAAUGGGUCCAGAAACAGCUCCUGAGCUUUGCCAGAAUGCACAGAUUGAGUCCUUAGAGCAACUAAGCCAUACUCUUCAGAUGUGGCUUCAACUCUUUUAAGUUCCUGGAAUAGGGGACUCCUAUCCCCAUUAGUGGAGAGAAGAGUGCAAAGCAGGAUAGGAAGAUCAGAGCCAGCACACUUACAGAAAAUCUGGCUGCAAGAGGUAGCAAGUCCAGGAUGAAAAGGCAGCGCAUUUUCAGUGCUGAAGCCUUUCUUGCACAGGUAACCAGGGAUGACAGUGCACAUCCACUGAUGAAAUCUUAUCCCAAGGCAGUGAGGAUGCAGACUUUGUUACAGAUAUGGAAGAUUGUUCAGAGCAAGAAGACCAUGUGUCUAUGGAAGCUUCAUCUAGCUCAGAUGAGGAGUUGGUGCUACAAGCAGAAGUGAUGCGAACACUUCCAGAGGGAAAGGGAAGAGGACCAGCCUGGGGCUGCUGUGGAAGACUGAGGAUAGCUACAGCAGGACAUGGAGCAGAACCAUUGCUAUCACCCCCAGAAAAUGUUGUAGAUGAUGACACCAGGAAGGAAUGGCAGUGUGUGGGGAAAAAAAGUCAACAGCUAAUACAAAAUUGGAAAACAGCCAAGGACAUAGUCUAUGAAAGUUCUGGCCCAACAAGAGAAAGCAUUAAAGACACAGUGGUGGAAACAUUCCACCUCUUUCUUUCACAAGGUAUUCUGACUAUUAUCAUAAGAUAAACAGAGAGGCAGAGAGAAGAUUCAGGGAGUGGAAUGAUAGCCAUCCUAAAAAUAGAAAGGAGUGGAAAAAGCUGCAUAAAACAGAGCUGGAAGCCUACAUUGGCCUUCUACUGCAGAGUGAUCUAUACCAGAGUGUUCACAAGGCACUGGAGGGGUUGUGGGAGCAACGUACCGGGCAUCCUUACUUCUAUGCCACCAUGAGUUUAAAACAAUUCCGUCAAAUCACCAACUACCUGAGAUUUGACAACAAACUGACACAAGAGGAAAGGAGAGCUGUGGACAAGCUUGAUACCUUCAGAGAUAUUUGGAUACAAUUCGUGGAACAGCUCAAGAAGUGGUAUAUUCCAGGAGUACAACUGAUGGUUGAUGAGCAGCUUAUUAUGUUCAGGGGUCAUGUCCCUUGAGACAGUAAAUGCUCAGCAAGCCUGCCAAAGAUGGCUUGAAAAUGUGGUGGUGCUGUGAUGCAGCAGCAUC
Alligator sinensis (Chinese alligator) is the source of this 1246-nucleotide long non-coding RNA. RefSeq lists it as uncharacterized. The transcript is spliced from 3 exons. The record is from RefSeq and is a predicted model, not a curated record. Lineage: Eukaryota; Metazoa; Chordata; Crocodylia; Alligatoridae.